This 501-nucleotide ribosomal RNA is filed under the name uncultured bacterium. RNAcentral's name for it is "partial 16S ribosomal RNA". It matches the Rfam family "Bacterial small subunit ribosomal RNA", at positions 29 to 523 of the family's 1533-position model. The record is from RNAcentral.
AUUGAACGCUGGCGGCAUGCCUUACACAUGCAAGUCGAACGGCAGCACGGGUGCUUGCACCUGGCGGCGAGUGGCGAACGGGUGAGUAAUACAUCGGAACGCACCUUAUCGUGGGGGAUAACGCAGCGAAAGCUGUGCUAAUACCGCAUACGCCCUGAGGGGGAAAGCGGGGGAUCGCAAGACCUCGCGCGAUUAGAGCGGCCGAUGCCUGAUUAGCUUGUUGGUGGGGUAAAAGCCCACCAAGGCGACGAUCAGUAGCUGGUCUGAGAGGACGAUCAACCACACUGGGACUGAGACACGGCCCAGACUCCUACGGGAGGCAGCAGUGGGGAAUGUUGGACAAUGGGGGCAACCCUGAUCCAGCAAUGCCGCGUGAGUGAAGAAGGCCUUCGGGUUGUAAAGCUCUUUUAUCAGGGAAGAAACACCGGCUCUAACACAGUCCGGGAAUGACGGUACCUGAAGAAUAAGCACCGGCUAACUACGUGCCAGCCGCCGCAGUAA